Molecule: transfer RNA, 68 nt
Filed under: Lithophaga curta
Lineage: Eukaryota; Metazoa; Mollusca; Bivalvia; Mytilida; Mytilidae
Description: tRNA-Lys
Source: RNAcentral
AGAGUUAAAGCUUUGGAUGUAAGCAAUGGCCUUUUAAGUCAUAGAAGUUCCUGCUUGAACUGACUCUU